RNAcentral lists this ribosomal RNA (301 nucleotides) under uncultured bacterium. Its description in RNAcentral is "partial 16S ribosomal RNA". It matches the Rfam family "Bacterial small subunit ribosomal RNA", at positions 509 to 807 of the family's 1533-position model. The record is from RNAcentral.
CAGUCGCCGCGGUAAAACGAAGGGGGCUAGCGUUGCUCGGAAUUACUGGGCGUAAAGGGAGCGUAGGCGGACAUUUAAGUCAGGGGUGAAAUCCCAGAGCUCAACUCUGGAACUGCCUUUGAUACUGGGUGUCUUGAGUGUGAUAGAGGUAUGUGGAACUCCGAGUGUAGAGGUGAAAUUCGUAGAUAUUCGGAAGAACACCAGUGGCGAAGGCGACAUACUGGAUCAUUACUGACGCUGAGGUGCGAAAGCGUGGGGAGCAAACAGGAUUAGAUACCCCGGUAGUCCCUGUCUCUUAUAC